This is a long non-coding RNA of Vidua macroura (Pin-tailed whydah), 1032 nucleotides long. RefSeq lists it as uncharacterized. Lineage: Eukaryota; Metazoa; Chordata; Aves; Passeriformes; Viduidae. The record is from RefSeq and is a predicted model, not a curated record. The transcript is spliced from 2 exons.
CGUCUCAUUGUUGUCAGGCCCCCUGAGUGAAAUGACUGCUGCGGUGCAGGGGUUAGACUGAGCCCUCUUAAACCAGAUUGGGAAUGUCAAUCCUGGGAACAAGUCAGGCAACCUCAAACAGCCUCAGAAGAGACAUUCCAUCAAACCAGACCCCUUUAUGGUACCUUGCACUCGGAGUCCAGGGUUUCCUGCAUUUAUCACGACAAGUGCAGUCAUAUCUGCAACCACAAGGCAGGCAAAGCUGGAAGCAACUUCCUUUUCAUGUGGGAAGCAAAUCUCCACUAAUGCACUACAGCCUUCUGUCCCUCCAGCCUGGAAACCAGAACAUCAGGAGCAGGAAGCACAGCAGGCAGAACCUUCCUUCAGCCCCUGGACUGAAUCCAAAGCCACCUCUGCAUGUGGUCCAUGGCACAGCUCCAGCAGCAGGACCUCCUGUGCUGAGGGACCACAGCCCCACACCACCACUGCCCAGCCCCAGGGGACUCUGGCUCACCUCUCCUGACCCAGAGGUUUCUCAUUUGCAGGGUCCCAGCCAGAGCUGGGCACUUUGUGAUGUUUGUUCUAGACCACCUUGAGUGGAGGUGUCAGGUCCCCCAGGGCAGCUCCAUCACCCCAAGCUCUGUGGGAGCAAUUCCUGAGUGCUUUUAACAGCAGCUUUCCUACACAGUAGGAAAAGUUUCCCACUUCAGUAACCAAGUCAUUUCUCCCUGAAGUUUUGGAUGAAAAAUAAGAUGUAGAACCAAAUUAUCCACUGUUUAUGUACAUAAUUCCCUGUGCAUCUGGAUAAGAGCAUGCCCGUGGCCUCUUUAUGCUGCAUCUGAUUCUCAUUAGGUGCUUGUGAUUCCUUCUUGAUAAGGUUUUAUUGCUCCCCUUGACACUCUGAGCUAUGGCUGUGCUCUUUAUUCUCUGCAGCUGCCCUGGUGUGGCUGAGGACUGCCCAGCCCAGUCUGAGCUGAUCCGCAACAAGUUCUGUCAAAAGACAGCCCUGGUGCUUAAAGAACUAGAAAUAAAUCGAGAUCUCUCCAAAGUUAA